This 115-nucleotide ribosomal RNA is filed under the name Pteropus alecto (black flying fox). The record is from RNAcentral. Lineage: Eukaryota; Metazoa; Chordata; Mammalia; Chiroptera; Pteropodidae.
UAAAAUGGGGAUAGUUGAGCAAGCCUGAUCCCGUCUGGUCUUGGAAGCUAAGCACGGUCGGGCCUGGUUAGUACUUAGAUGGGAGACCACUUAGGAAGAACAGGUGCUGUAGGCA